This 460-nucleotide ribosomal RNA is filed under the name uncultured bacterium. Its description in RNAcentral is "partial 16S ribosomal RNA". It matches the Rfam family "Bacterial small subunit ribosomal RNA", at positions 338 to 795 of the family's 1533-position model. The record is from RNAcentral.
CCUACGGGAGGCAGCAGUGAGGAAUAUUGGUCAAUGUACGCAAGUCUGAACCAGCCAUGCCGCGUGCAGGAAGACGGCUCUAUGAGUUGUAAACUGCUUUUGUACGAGGGUAAACGCAGAUACGCGUAUCUGUCUGAAAGUAUCGUACGAAUAAGGAUCGGCUAACUCCGUGCCAGCAGCCGCGGUAAUACGGAGGAUUCAAGCGUUAUCCGGAUUUAUUGGGUUUAAAGGGUGCGUAGGCGGUCGGAUAAGUUAGAGGUGAAAUCCCGAGGCUCAACUUCGGACUUGCCUCUGAUACUGGUCGUCUAGAGAGUAGUUGCGGUAGGCGGAAUGUAUGGUGUAGCGGUGAAAUGCUUAGAGAUCAUACAGAACCCCGAUUGCGAAGGCAGCUUACCAAGCUACUUCUGACGUUGAGGCACGAAAGCGUGGGGAGCAAACAGGAUUAGAUACCCCAGUAGUC